This is a microRNA precursor of Brassica oleracea var. oleracea, 125 nucleotides long. It matches the Rfam family "MIR9563 microRNA precursor family". NCBI's taxonomy places the organism in Eukaryota, Viridiplantae, Streptophyta, Magnoliopsida, Brassicales, Brassicaceae. The record is from Rfam.
GGAAUAUAAGAAACCGUUUUUUAACUUUUAACUAAAAAAGCUAAGAACCGGUUCUUAAAACUCUUUUUAAGAACCGGUUCUUAGCUUUUUUUAGUUAAAAGUUAAGAGACGGGUUCUUAUAUUCC